UUGGCAUUUCAUAAGCGGAGGAAAAGAAACCAACCGGGAUUGCCUUAGUAACGGCGAGUGAAGCGGCAAAAGCUCAAAUUUGAAAUCUGGUACCUUUGGUGCCCGAGUUGUAAUUUGGAGAGGGCAACUUUGGGACCGUUCCUUGUCUAUGUUCCUUGGAACAGGACGUCAUAGAGGGUGAGAAUCCCGUGUGGCGAGGAGUGCGGUUCUAUGUAAAGUGCCUUCGAAGAGUCGAGUUGUUUGGGAAUGCAGCUCUAAGUGGGUGGUAAAUUCCAUCUAAAGCUAAAUAUUGGCGAGAGACCGAUAGCGAACAAGUACAGUGAUGGAAAGAUGAAAAGAACUUUGAAAAGAGAGUGAAAAAGUACGUGAAAUUGUUGAAAGGGAAGGGCAUUUGAUCAGACAUGGUGUUUUGCGCCCUCUGCUCCUUGUGGGUGGGGGAAUCUCGCAGUUCACUGGGCCAGCAUCAGUUUUGGUGGCAGGAUAAAUCCGUAGGAAUGUAACUUGCUUCGGGAAGUAUUAUAGCCUAUGGGAAUACUGCCAGCUGGGACUGAGGACUGCGACGUAAGUCAAGGAUGCUGGCAUAAUGGUUAUAUGCCGCCCGUCUUGAACCCGGGACCA
This 618-nucleotide ribosomal RNA is filed under the name Saccharomyces cf. bayanus/pastorianus. RNAcentral describes it as "LSU rRNA". It matches the Rfam family "Eukaryotic large subunit ribosomal RNA", at positions 33 to 668 of the family's 3401-position model. Lineage: Eukaryota; Fungi; Ascomycota; Saccharomycetes; Saccharomycetales; Saccharomycetaceae. The record is from RNAcentral.